This 278-nucleotide ribosomal RNA is filed under the name uncultured eukaryote. RNAcentral describes it as "partial 18S ribosomal RNA". It matches the Rfam family "Eukaryotic small subunit ribosomal RNA", at positions 25 to 303 of the family's 1831-position model. The record is from RNAcentral.
UAGCAUAUGCUUGUCUCAAAGAUUAAGCCAUGCAUGUCUAAGUAUAAACAACUUUAUACUGUGAAACUGCGUACAGCUCAUUAAAUCAGUUAUUAUUUAUUUGAUGGUAUUUAACUACAUGGAUAACCGUAGUAAUUCUAGAGCUAAUACAUGCGAAAAGUCCCAACGCAAGGCGGGAUGUAUUUAUUAGAUAUAAAACCAAUGGGGGCAACCUCUUUUUGGUGAUUCAUAGUAACUGUUCGAAUCGCACGGCGAAAGCAGGCGAUAGUUCAUUCAAA